GCCUACGGGAGGCAGCAGUGGGGAAUAUUGGACAAUGGGCGCAAGCCUGAUCCCAGCCAUGCCGCGUGAGUGAUGAAGGCCCUAGGGUUGUAAAGCUCUUUCACCGGAGAAGAUAAUGACGGUAUCCGGAGAAGAAGCCCCGGCUAACUUCGUGCCAGCAGCCGCGGUAAU
This 171-nucleotide ribosomal RNA is filed under the name uncultured alpha proteobacterium GT17-1. RNAcentral's name for it is "partial 16S ribosomal RNA". It matches the Rfam family "Bacterial small subunit ribosomal RNA", at positions 337 to 524 of the family's 1533-position model. The record is from RNAcentral. Lineage: Bacteria; Pseudomonadati; Pseudomonadota; Alphaproteobacteria.